RNAcentral lists this ribosomal RNA (810 nucleotides) under uncultured Sulfolobales archaeon. RNAcentral's name for it is "bacterial SSU rRNA". It matches the Rfam family "Archaeal small subunit ribosomal RNA", at positions 85 to 879 of the family's 1478-position model. The record is from RNAcentral. Lineage: Archaea; Thermoproteati; Thermoproteota; Thermoprotei; Sulfolobales.
ACKGCUCAGUAACACGUGGCUAACCUACCCUCGAGACAGGGACAACCCCGGGAAACUGGGGCUAAUCCCAGAUAGAUGAGAACCCCUGGAAUGGGUUUUCGUCCAAAAGGCACUGCGGUUAUGCUCUGCGGUGUCGCUCAAGGAUGGGGCCGCGCCCGAUCAGGCUGUUGGUGAGGCAAUGGCUCACCAAACCUAUAACCGGUACGGGCCGUGGGAGCGGGAGCCCGGAGAUGGGCACUGAGACAAGGGCCCAGGCCCUACGGGGCGCAGCAGUUGCGAAAACUUGUCAAUGCACGAAAGUGUGAACGGGCUACCCCGAGUGCCGUCCGCUGAGGAUGGCUUUUCUCUGCUGUAAGAAGGCGGAGGAAUAAGGAGAGGGCAAGUCUGGUGUCAGCCGCCGCGGUAAUACCAGCUCUCCGAGUGGUAGGGAUGAUUAUUGGGCUUAAAGCGUCCGUAGCCCGCCUCUCAAGUCUUUCGUUAAAUCCAGCGACUAAUCGUUGAACUGCGGGAGAUACUGUUAGGCUAGGGGGCGGGAGAAGCCGACGGUAUUCUUGGGGUAGGGGUAAAAUCCUAUAAUCCCAGGAAGACCACCAGUGGCGUAGGCGGUCGGCUAGCACGCGCUCGACGGUGAGGGACGAAAGCUGGGGGAGCGAACCGGAUUAGAUACCCGGGUAGUCCCAGCUGUAAACGAUGCGGGCUAGGUGUUGGAGCGGCUACGAGCCGCUUCAGUGCCGCAGGGAAGCCAUUAAGCCCGCCGCCUGGGGAGUACGGCCGCAAGGCUGAAACUUAAAGGAAUUGGCGGGGGAGCAC